RNAcentral lists this ribosomal RNA (394 nucleotides) under uncultured archaeon. RNAcentral's name for it is "bacterial SSU rRNA". It matches the Rfam family "Archaeal small subunit ribosomal RNA", at positions 488 to 882 of the family's 1478-position model. The record is from RNAcentral.
GGGCCCAGGAGAUUACUUGGGCCUAAAGCUCCGUAGCUGGCUGCGCAAGUCCUCUGUUAAAUCCAGCGACUCAAUCGUUGGCUUGCGGGGGAUACUGCCCGGCUAGGGGGCGAGAGAGGCGGACGGUAUUCCCGGGGUAGGGGUGAAAUCCUUUGAUCCCGGGAAGACCACCAGUGGCGAAGGCUGUCCGCUAGAACGCGCUCGACAGUGAGGGAUGAAAGCUGGGGGAGCGAACCGGAUUAGAUACCCGGGUAGUCCCAGCUGUAAACGAUGCAAGCUAGGUGAUUGGGCGGCCACUUGCCGCUCUAGUGCCGCAGGGAAGCUGUUAAGCCUGCCGCCUGGGGAGUACGGUCGCAAGGCUGAAACUUAAAGGAAUUGCGGGGNGGAGCACAAA